RNAcentral lists this RNase P RNA (391 nucleotides) under marine eukaryotic metagenome. Its description in RNAcentral is "Bacterial RNase P class A". It matches the Rfam family "Bacterial RNase P class A". From Rfam's summary of the family: Ribonuclease P (RNase P) is a ubiquitous endoribonuclease, found in archaea, bacteria and eukarya as well as chloroplasts and mitochondria. Its best characterised activity is the generation of mature 5'-ends of tRNAs by cleaving the 5'-leader elements of precursor-tRNAs. The record is from RNAcentral.
GAGCUGGCCAGGCAGUCGCUGGCGCACGGGUUUCGACACGGCGCGAGAGGAAAGUCCGGGCUCCGCAGGGCAAGGUGCCAGGUAACACCUGGGGGGUGUGAGCUCACGGAAAGUGCAGCAGAAAGCAAACCGCCCAAGGCGCCGAACGCGCGUUAGUGCGCGACCGGUGAACAGGUAAGGGUGAAAAGGUGCGGUAAGAGCGCACCGCGCAGGUGGCAACACACUGCGGCUAGGUAAACCCCACCCGGAGCAAGACCAAAUAGGAAUCCAACGGUGUGGCCCGCACCGGAUUCGGGUAGGUCGCUGGAGGUUUUCGGUGACGAAGACCCUAGAUGAAUGACUGCUACACCGGCAUUGCUGGUGACAGAACCCGGCUUAUCGGCCAGCUCUU